AGGGUGUCAGAGGUCACAUCACGAGGAAGGUGAUGUUUGAGCAAAGGUCUGAUGGAAGUGAGGGCAGGAGCGAUGUGGAUAUUAGGAAAAGAAAGUUCCAGAACCCAUUGUCCUUUCUCCCUCACCGGAGGAAACCACAGUCCUGAAUUCGAUGUCCAGUUUCAUGUGGAUGUUUUUAUACUUUUACUAUUUGCUCUGCAAGAUCCAGUUGGGAAAGGAAGAAGCAUUUAUUUCUCUUGCUUUCCACACAUACCUUUGAAGUGUCUUAGCAUCAAAAGAAACACCCAGCCUGAAACUAUAUUUUCUUUACUCAAAACGUGUGGUAGUCUCAAGAUGACAGCUAGAUUUUUCUGGCAUGAACAGUAAAGGUCAACUUUGGCAAUGUUCCAUUAAUACAUGACUGCAAACAUUUUUAUACAUAAGAGCCUACAGGCAUUCGAACAUCGACUGUAAUUGAAAACCAGAUGUUGUGAGAAAAACCCUACAAGCCGCUACUUCCAAAUUAAAAACCACCUAGGUCUUUGUCCGGGGCCUCAGUGGCCGCAGUUUCCACCUCAGACCUCUGUGGUGCUCCUGCUGGGAUUUGGAGGUUUGCUCAGAAUCUUCCAUUCAUCUAAUUAGUCCUUUGGGAGAAAGAAAGAUGAAAGGAAGGGAGGGCAGGAGACACAGAGAUGCUUCACAUGGCUGUUUAGACCACGAAUGUAGCUCAUCUAGGAAAGAACUGGUGACAUGAAAAUAAUGAAACAGAAGGAUUGAGCUCUGUGAAUUGAGAGGUUUUGUCUUCAUUUAGAUAAAGUCACCAUUAAGCCACUCCUAUUUCCUUACUCUUAACUAAGGUGGAAUCAGGAAAGGAAAUGCAAAGUUGGGUCACCUUUUCCAAAUGGCUUCAGAAAAACUUCCCUAAUCAGGGGCCCCCAAAAGGAGGAAAUAUACUGGGGUGUAUAAGGCCUUGGUAGAUGAAGUGUGAGGAAUUUCUCUCUUGCCACCUGAUUCCGGUUAGAAAUUCACUGGCUGUGUCGCUGACUGAACAAAACAGAGGAUAAUAGCCGCUGGCUGAAGAUUUUAUAAUUGAAGCUGAGACAGAGUGGGCCAUGUGCAUGUUUAGAACAGUGAUUGCAUUGUGAAUUACAACAGAAGUCCCACUUGUCAGUCACACAAACGUUUAAGAGCAUAGAAAGGCAUCUGAUUUGGGACAAGGAUGACAAAAUAGAUCUUUUGGUUUCUCCCACUUUGCCCUGAGUACAAAGGGACUGAUGACUGCUUUGUUCUGGGAUAGAGUUUUAAUUCCUCUUAGGAUCUACCCAAUUAUUAACAGAGAAAGAAAAUUCCUGUCUGGAACCACUCCUACCACUUUCCGAAAGAAGUAAUCUUUAGUCCUCAUCAUCCAAUGAGAGAAAGAGAGUAAUAUAAAUGAUAUCGUGCCAGAUUUUUUGCUUUGUUUAUAAUCAUUACUUUUCCUCAUGUAUCUUUAGUGAUGUCUCAAUGUUAAACAACUGUAGUAAACACUGUUAAGAAACAUGGCUCUAAUUUGACAAUAUCAGUCAACAUUUAAAAUGCCUCUACCCUUUGAACCAGGAAUUACAUUUUUAAGAAUUUCUUUAACAGAUAAACUGAGAGAUGUGGAAAAUGAUAUAUUUACAAAGAUAAGCUUGGCAGCAUUGUUUGUAACAUCCAAAGAGUGAAAACAACCCAAAAGUUCAUCAACAGAUCAAUUAAAUAAAUUACUGUAUGUUUACACAAGGAAAUGGAGUAUCAGAUUAAAGUCUGGUUCCAGUCCUUGUC
RNAcentral lists this long non-coding RNA (1782 nucleotides) under Equus caballus (horse). RNAcentral's name for it is "lncRNA (ENSECAG00000048513.1)". The record is from RNAcentral. Lineage: Eukaryota; Metazoa; Chordata; Mammalia; Perissodactyla; Equidae.